RNAcentral lists this ribosomal RNA (493 nucleotides) under uncultured bacterium. RNAcentral's name for it is "partial 16S ribosomal RNA". It matches the Rfam family "Bacterial small subunit ribosomal RNA", at positions 30 to 505 of the family's 1533-position model. The record is from RNAcentral.
UGAACGCUGGCGGCGUGCCUAAUACAUGCACGUCGAGCGAACAGACGAGGAGCUUGCUCCUCUGACGUUAGCGGCGGACGGGUGAGUAACACGUGGAUAACCUACCUAUAAGACUGGGAUAACUUCGGGAAACCGGAGCUAAUACCGGAUAAUAUAUUGAACCGCAUGGUUCAAUAGUGAAAGACGGUUUUGCUGUCACUUAUAGAUGGAUCCGCGCCGCAUUAGCUAGUUGGUAAGGUAACGGCUUACCAAGGCAACGAUGCGUAGCCGACCUGAGAGGGUGAUCGGCCACACUGGAACUGAGACACGGUCCAGACUCCUACGGGAGGCAGCAGUAGGGAAUCUUCCGCAAUGGGCGAAAGCCUGACGGAGCAACGCCGCGUGAGUGAUGAAGGUCUUCGGAUCGUAAAACUCUGUUAUUAGGGAAGAACAAAUGUGUAAGUAACUAUGCACGUCUUGACGGUACCUAAUCAGAAAGCCACGGCUAACUACG